CCUACGGGUGGCAGCAGUCGAGAAUCAUUCACAAUGGGCGAAACACUGAUGGUGCGACGCCGCGUGGGGGAAUGAAGGUCUUCGGAUUGUAAACCCCUGUCAUGUGGGAGCAAAUUAAAAAGAUAGUACCACAAGAGGAAGAGACGGCUAACUCUGUGCCAGCAGCCGCGGUACUACAGAGGUCUCAAGCGUUGUUCAGAAUCACUGGGCGUAAAGCGUGCGUAGGCUGUGUCGUAAGUCGUGUGUGAAAGGGGCGUGCUCAACCCGCGGACGGCAGAUGAUACUGGGAGACUAGAGUAAGGGAGGGGGAAGCGGAAUGCGCGGUGUAGCAGUGAAAUGCGUAGAUAUCGAGAGGAACACUCGUGGCGAAGGCGGGUUCCUGGACAUAAACUGACGCUGAGGCACGAAGGCCAGGGGAGCGAAAGGGAUUAGAUACCCGUGUAGUC
RNAcentral lists this ribosomal RNA (446 nucleotides) under uncultured bacterium. RNAcentral describes it as "partial 16S ribosomal RNA". It matches the Rfam family "Bacterial small subunit ribosomal RNA", at positions 338 to 795 of the family's 1533-position model. The record is from RNAcentral.